UGGCUCUGGCAUCGAUGAAGAACGCAGCGAAAUGCGGUACGUAAUGUGAAUUGCAGAAUCCAGUGAAUCAUCGAAUCUUUGAACGCACAUUGCGCCCGCCAGUACUCUGGCGGGCAUGCCUGUCCGAGCGUCAUUUCAACCCUCGAACCCCUCCGGGGGCUCGGUGUUGGAGACCGGCGAACCCGGCCCCCCGCCCUCGCGGCGGGGACCGGGCGCCGCCUCCGAAAUCCAGUGGCGGUCCCGCCGCAGCCUUCCCUGCGCAGUAGCAUCUUAUUUCGCACGGGAGAGCGGCGCGGCCACGCCGUAAAACGCCCAACCUUUUUACCAACGGUUGACCUCGGAUCAGGUAGGACUACCCGCUGA
Molecule: unclassified non-coding RNA, 363 nt
Filed under: uncultured fungus
Lineage: Eukaryota; Fungi
Description: partial contains 5.8S ribosomal RNA and internal transcribed spacer 2
Rfam family: 5.8S ribosomal RNA (bases 1-133)
Source: RNAcentral